Molecule: ribosomal RNA, 543 nt
Filed under: Kodamaea ohmeri
Lineage: Eukaryota; Fungi; Ascomycota; Pichiomycetes; Serinales; Debaryomycetaceae
Description: partial large subunit ribosomal RNA
Rfam family: Eukaryotic large subunit ribosomal RNA
Source: RNAcentral
UUUGCAUAUCCAAUAGCGGAGGAAAAGAAACCAACAGGGAUUGCCUCAGUAACGGCGAGUGAAGCGGCAAAAGCUCAAAUUUGAAAUCCCCCCGGGGAGUUGUAAUUUGAAGAUUGCGUCUUGGAGGCGACCGUGUCUAUGUUCCUUGGAACAGGACGUCACAGAGGGUGAGAAUCCCGUGCGGCACGGCCCCCGGCUCCUUAUAAGGCGCUCUCGACGAGUCGAGUUGUUUGGGAAUGCAGCUCAAAGUGGGUGGUAAAUUCCAUCUAAAGCUAAAUACAGGCGAGAGACCGAUAGCGAACAAGUACAGUGAUGGAAAGAUGAAAAGCACUUUGAAAAGAGAGUGAAACAGCACGUGAAAUUGUUGAAAGGGAAGGGCAUGCCGUCAGAUUGUCAGUGUGGGUAAGAAGCGGGGUACAAAGACUGUGGAACGUGGCCCUCGGGUGUUAUAGCCGCAGUUCAUGCCCCGUCUCUUUCCGAGGCCUGCUUUGAGGACACCGACGUAAUGACGGUACGCCGCCCGUCUUAAAAACCCGGAACCAA